This 251-nucleotide ribosomal RNA is filed under the name uncultured bacterium. RNAcentral's name for it is "partial 16S ribosomal RNA". It matches the Rfam family "Bacterial small subunit ribosomal RNA", at positions 85 to 339 of the family's 1533-position model. The record is from RNAcentral.
AUGCUGACGAGUGGCGGACGGGUGAGUAACGCGUAGGGAUCUGCCUUAUAGUGGGGGAUAACCUGGGGAAACUCAGGCUAAUACCGCAUGACUCUCACGAGAGAAAGCAGGGGACCGUAAGGCCUUGCGCUAUAAGAUGAACCUGCGUCGGAUUAGCUUGUUGGUGGGGUAAUGGCCUACCAAGGCGAUGAUCCGUAGCUGGUCUGAGAGGACGAUCAGCCACACUGGGACUGAGACACGGCCCAGACUCC